RNAcentral lists this small nuclear RNA (191 nucleotides) under Microtus ochrogaster (prairie vole). Its description in RNAcentral is "U2 spliceosomal RNA (ENSMOCG00000010071.1)". It matches the Rfam family "U2 spliceosomal RNA". Rfam says of the family: U2 is a small nuclear RNA (snRNA) component of the spliceosome (involved in pre-mRNA splicing). Complementary binding between U2 snRNA (in an area lying towards the 5' end but 3' to hairpin I) and the branchpoint sequence (BPS) of the intron results the bulging out of an unpaired adenosine, on the BPS, which initiates a nucleophilic attack at the intronic 5' splice site, thus starting the first of two transesterification reactions that mediate splicing. Lineage: Eukaryota; Metazoa; Chordata; Mammalia; Rodentia; Cricetidae. The record is from RNAcentral.
AUUGCUUCUUGGCCUUUUGGCUAAGAUCAGUUGUAGUAUCUAUUUUUAUUAGUUUAAUAUCUGAUAUGUCCUCUAUCCAAGGACAAUAUAUUGAAUGAAUUUUUGGAAGUAGGAGUUGGAAUAGGAGCUUGUUCCAUCCACUCCACUCAUUGACCUGGUAUUGUAGAACCUCCAGGAAGAGUACACCCUUU